RNA transcript from Mercenaria mercenaria, 1087 nucleotides. RefSeq lists it as uncharacterized. Lineage: Eukaryota; Metazoa; Mollusca; Bivalvia; Venerida; Veneridae. The record is from RefSeq and is a predicted model, not a curated record. The transcript has 5 exons.
UUGCAUUACAAAAUAGAAAUGAUUAUAUCCAUAAAAAUGUGAAUUUCAAAUUGAUAAAUUUGUUUGAUUUCAUUGUUUCAAUUUAUACUAUGGACGAGGCAUAGGAAUUAUUUUCUUUUAUUUCAGGAUGUUAACAGAAAGCAGGAUGUCAAAGACGUGGUUACAGUAUUUUAUCAAAAUUUUAUUUUUGGUCAGUGAACGCUUAAAAAGGAAAUUCAAUUAAUUACAGAUUUGCAGGCACUUCCUCAGUUGGCAACUGGCAUAAAGGAUAUUAUUACAUACAGCAGUUUUUGCAACGCAGAUUUGCAGUGCACGAGACUGAUCAAUAUAACUUGGCUUAUCAUAGGCUUCGCCAGUGUUCAUGUUAUUUGUGGAGUCUUCGUGUUCUUCUAUUCGUGUACAACCACUAUUUACCAGCCACUGAUUUGUUUCGUAAUGUGGAGUGUUUGUAUCUCGAGCCUUGCCAUUUAUCAUGUGAAACAGUUAUGGGAGCUUGAGCAGGUUUUGUCCACUACUUUAGCAAUAACUUUGGCGCUUGCAACAACAUAUAUAUUACUGGUCUUAGCAGAAAUUUUACUUCAUGUUAAACUUAUAUGUCUUCAAGAAGAUGAUAAAACUCGAUUGCAAGUUCUGAAUGAACACGACUUUAGCAUACUAAUGAUGCCGGAGAAAGGAUUUUAAAAAGAAAAAGUAUUAACUAUUUCAUUUUUUUUUUAAAUGACAGAUUCAUCUAAGAAGAGACGUUAUUGGUUAUGUUUACGUCAAAUUUUGAAGUUCAUCUUAUUUGUGUUUUACAAAAGUUCUACAGAAAUGUAUGAAGCAGACGACAAAUAAUGCCUUGUUUCAUAAAUCUAUUUUCACGUAAUGUUCAGAUUAGAAUAUGAGGUUCUUAGAACACUGGUAUCAUCUCUGCCGACUGUUGCUUUUUUACGUAACUGUCUAAGCCAACUUUUGACCUACUUAAAGAACCAAUGAAAGAUGUUAAUUUAUAUAAAAACAGCGGGACUGGACAGAAAUGAAUACAUGCAUAUUUUUUAUUGGCUGAAAUGAAUAAAUCGUUUCACGCAAAUACGUUUAAGCUUGUUUA